This 294-nucleotide unclassified non-coding RNA is filed under the name Hevea brasiliensis (rubber tree). Lineage: Eukaryota; Viridiplantae; Streptophyta; Magnoliopsida; Malpighiales; Euphorbiaceae. The record is from RNAcentral.
AACCAGUCUCCCCCAAAUCUCCUUUGCGUCCUCUCGAUUCCUCAGCGACCAUGUCGGCCUACUGCGGCAAGUACAAGGACGAGCUCAUCAAGAACGCUGCCUACAUUGGCACUCCUGGCAAGGGUAUCCUUGCUGCGGAUGAGUCCACUGGCACCAUUGGCAAGCGCUUCGCCAGCAUCAACGUCGAGAACGUUGAGGAGAACCGCCGCUCCCUCCGCGAGCUCCUCUUCUGCACCCCUGGCGCCCUCCAGUACCUCAGCGGCGUGAUCCUCUUCGAGGAGACCCUGUACCAGA